Molecule: long non-coding RNA, 152 nt
Organism: Alosa alosa (allis shad)
Lineage: Eukaryota; Metazoa; Chordata; Actinopteri; Clupeiformes; Clupeidae
Exons: 2
Source: RefSeq, a predicted model, not a curated record
GCUGUCAACAUGCAGUGGAAAUCAGGCGAUUUUGGAAGGGCUGACCCCCAAAUGGACCAUGGAAUCUAGCUGUCUUCAUGGAUGCAACUUAUCACAUGCUGAUGCUGCUUUUAGAGUAGGCUAUCCAUUCAAAAAUAAAGUAAACUGUCAAA